This is a small nucleolar RNA of Erinaceus europaeus (western European hedgehog), 133 nucleotides long. Its record names the gene SNORA70. It matches the Rfam family "Small nucleolar RNA SNORA70". From Rfam's summary of the family: snoRNA U70 seems to be exclusive to mammals and is a member of the H/ACA class of snoRNA which contain H (ANANNA) and ACA box motifs. H/ACA box snoRNAs are involved in the conversion of uridines to pseudouridines (5-ribosyluracil) a constituent of structural RNAs (transfer, ribosomal, small nuclear, and small nucleolar). The record is from Ensembl. NCBI's taxonomy places the organism in Eukaryota, Metazoa, Chordata, Mammalia, Eulipotyphla, Erinaceidae.
CUGAAACCAAGUAAAUAUACUGUGUUCUUUUCUCUGUGGAGUCCAGUGUAAAUAAGAGCAAACAGCAGCUUCCUUGGUCAUAUGGACAGUAAUUAGCUUGUGUUGAUUUCCCUAAGUCACCUUGGAGAUAGCU